This 449-nucleotide ribosomal RNA is filed under the name uncultured soil bacterium. RNAcentral describes it as "bacterial SSU rRNA". It matches the Rfam family "Bacterial small subunit ribosomal RNA", at positions 26 to 486 of the family's 1533-position model. The record is from RNAcentral.
AGAUUGAACGCUGGCGGCAUGCCUAACACAUGCAAGUCGAACGGGAGUAGCAAUACUCUAGUGGCGGACGGGUGAGGAAUACGUAGGAAUUUGCCCUUAAGUGGGGGAUAACCCGGGGAAACCCGGAUUAAUACCGCAUGACCUCGAAAGAGCAAAGUGGGGGAUCGCAAGACCUCACGCUUUUGGAGAAGCCUACGUCGGAUUAGCUAGUUGGUGAGUAAUGGCUCACCAAGCGACGAUCCGUAACUGGUCUGAGAGGAUGAUCAGUCACACCGGAACUGAGACACGGUCCGGACUCCUACGGGAGCAGCAGGUGGGGAAUAUUGGGACAAGUGGGCGCAAGCCUAGAUCCGAAGCAAUCGACCGCGUGUGUGAAGAACGGCCGUUCGGGUUAGUAAAGUCGUAACGUUUAAGUUAGGGAAAGAAAAAACUACGACGUACCUAAACAC